This 484-nucleotide ribosomal RNA is filed under the name uncultured bacterium. RNAcentral describes it as "partial 16S ribosomal RNA". It matches the Rfam family "Bacterial small subunit ribosomal RNA", at positions 28 to 507 of the family's 1533-position model. The record is from RNAcentral.
AUUGAACGCUGGCGGCAUGCUUUACACAUGCAAGUCGAACGGCAGCGCGGGCUUCGGCCUGGCGGCGAGUGUCGAACGGGGGAGUAAUGCAUCUGAACGUGCCCAGUAGUGGGGGGUAGCCCGUCGAAAGCCGGAUUAAUACCGCAUACGACCUGAGGGUGAAAGCGGGGGACCGAAAGGCCUCGCGCUAUUGGAGCGGCCGAUGUCGGAUUAGCUAGUUGGUGGGGUAAAGGCUUACCAAGGCGACGAUCCGUAGCUGGUCUGAGAGGACGACCAGCCACACUGGGACUGAGACACGGCCCAGACUCCUACGGGAGGCAGCAGUGGGGAAUUUUGGACAAUGGGGGCAACCCUGAUCCAGCCAUGCCGCGUGCGGGAAGAAGGCCUUCGGGUUGUAAACCGCUUUUGUUCGGGAAGAAAUCCUCUGGGCUAAUACCCCGGGGGGAUGACGGUACCGGAAGAAUAAGCACCGGCUAACUACGUG